This 21-nucleotide non-coding RNA is filed under the name Arabidopsis thaliana (thale cress). Lineage: Eukaryota; Viridiplantae; Streptophyta; Magnoliopsida; Brassicales; Brassicaceae. The record is from RNAcentral.
UGGCUUCAAAAACAUCACUGU